GCCCGGGUGGUGUAGUGGCCCAUCAUGCGGCCCUGUCGAGGCCGCGACUCGGGUUCAAAUCCCGACCUGGGCG
This 73-nucleotide transfer RNA is filed under the name Candidatus Methanolliviera sp. GoM_oil. RNAcentral describes it as "tRNA-Asp". It matches the Rfam family "tRNA". From Rfam's summary of the family: Transfer RNA (tRNA) molecules are approximately 80 nucleotides in length. Their secondary structure includes four short double-helical elements and three loops (D, anti-codon, and T loops). RNAcentral also lists the same sequence under 1 other name. Lineage: Archaea; Methanobacteriati; Methanobacteriota; Candidatus Methanoliparia; Candidatus Methanoliparales; Candidatus Methanollivieraceae. The record is from RNAcentral.